GCGCCGAUGGUUUAGUGGUAAAAUUCUCCGUUGCCAUCAAGCAAUGUCGGGGAGCCGGGGGUUCGAUUCCCCCUCGGCGCA
This is a transfer RNA of Colletotrichum tofieldiae, 81 nucleotides long. It matches the Rfam family "tRNA". From Rfam's summary of the family: Transfer RNA (tRNA) molecules are approximately 80 nucleotides in length. The record is from Rfam. Lineage: Eukaryota; Fungi; Ascomycota; Sordariomycetes; Glomerellales; Glomerellaceae.